RNAcentral lists this ribosomal RNA (440 nucleotides) under uncultured bacterium. RNAcentral describes it as "partial 16S ribosomal RNA". It matches the Rfam family "Bacterial small subunit ribosomal RNA", at positions 338 to 795 of the family's 1533-position model. The record is from RNAcentral.
CCUACGGGUGGCUGCAGUGGGGAAUAUUGCACAAUGGGGGGAACCCUGAUGCAGCAACGCCGCGUGGGUGAAGAAGUACUCCGGUAUGUAAAGCCCUGUCAGCAGGGACGAAAAUGACGGUACCUUACCAAGACGCCCCGGCUAACUACGUUCCAGCAGCCGCGGUAAUACGUAGGGGGCAAGCGUUAUCCGGAUUUACUGGGUGUAAAGGGAGCGUAGACGGCAAGGCAAGUCUGGGGUGAAAGCCCGUGGCCCAACCACGGGACUGCCGUGGAAACUGUGUUUCUGGAGUGCAGGAGGGGUAAGCGGAAUUCCUAGUGUAGCGGUGAAAUGCGUAGAUAUUAGGUGGAACACCGGUGGCGAAGGCGGCUUACUGGACUGUAACUGACGCUGAGGCUCGAAGGCGUGGGGAGCAAACGGGAUUAGAUACCCCUGUAGUC